RNAcentral lists this ribosomal RNA (461 nucleotides) under uncultured Bacteroides sp. Its description in RNAcentral is "partial 16S ribosomal RNA". It matches the Rfam family "Bacterial small subunit ribosomal RNA", at positions 536 to 997 of the family's 1533-position model. The record is from RNAcentral. Lineage: Bacteria; Pseudomonadati; Bacteroidota; Bacteroidia; Bacteroidales; Bacteroidaceae.
GAGCGUUAUCCGGANUUUAUUGGGUUUAAAGGGGAGCGUAGGNGGANGNUUAAGUCAGUUGUGAAAGUUUGCGGCUCAACCGUAAAAUUGCAGUUGAUACUGGGUGUCUUGAGUGCAGUUGAGGCAGGCGGAAUUCGUGGUGUAGCGGUGAAAUGCUUAGAUAUCACGAAGAACUCCGAUUGCGAAGGCAGCCUGCUNNNCUGNAACUGACRYUGANGCUCGAAAGUGNGGGUAUCAAACAGGAUUAGAUACCCUGGUAGUCCACACNGUAAACGAUGAAUACUCGCUGUUUGCGAUAUACAGCAAGCGGCCAAGCGAAAGCGUUAAGUAUUCCACCUGGGGAGUACGCCGGCAACGGUGAAACUCAAAGGAAUUGACGGGGGCCCGCACAAGCGGAGGAACAUGUGGUUUAAUUCGAUGAUACGCGAGGAACCUUACCCGGGCUUAAAUUGCAGAUGAAU